Molecule: ribosomal RNA, 501 nt
Filed under: uncultured bacterium
Lineage: Bacteria
Description: partial 16S ribosomal RNA
Rfam family: Bacterial small subunit ribosomal RNA
Source: RNAcentral
AUUGAACGCUGGCGGCAGGCUUAACACAUGCAAGUCGAGCGGAGAGAGGUAGCUUGCUACCGAUCUUAGCGGCGGACGGGUGAGUAAUGCUUAGGAAUCUGCCUAUUAGUGGGGGACAACAUUUCGAAAGGAAUGCUAAUACCGCAUACGUCCUACGGGAGAAAGCAGGGGAUCCUCGGACCUUGCGCUAAUAGAUGAGCCUAAGUCGGAUUAGCUAGUUGGUGGGGUAAAGGCCUACCAAGGCGACGAUCUGUAGCGGGUCUGAGAGGAUGAUCCGCCACACUGGGACUGAGACGCGGCCCAGACGCCUACGGGAGGCAGCAGUGGGGAAUAUUGGACAAUGGGCGCAAGCCUGAUCCAGCCAUGCCGCGUGUGUGAAGAAGGCCUUAUGGUUGUAAAGCACUUUAAGCGAGGAGGAGGCUACUUUAGAUAAUACCUAGAGAUAGUGGACGUUACUCGCAGAAUAAGCACCGGCUAACUCUGUGCCAGCAGCCGCAGUAA